RNAcentral lists this ribosomal RNA (2319 nucleotides) under Salmonella enterica subsp. enterica serovar Typhimurium. RNAcentral's name for it is "partial 23S ribosomal RNA". It matches the Rfam family "Bacterial large subunit ribosomal RNA", at positions 711 to 2925 of the family's 2925-position model. The record is from RNAcentral. Lineage: Bacteria; Pseudomonadati; Pseudomonadota; Gammaproteobacteria; Enterobacterales; Enterobacteriaceae.
AGACCCGAAACCCGGUGAUCUAGCCAUGGGCAGGUUGAAGGUUGGGUAACACUAACUGGAGGACCGAACCGACUAAUGUUGAAAAAUUAGCGGAUGACCUGUGGCUGGGGGUGAAAGGCCAAUCAAACCGGGAGAUAGCUGGUUCUCCCCGAAAGCUAUUUAGGUAGCGCCUCGUGAAUUCAUCUCCGGGGGUAGAGCACUGUUUCGGCUAGGGGGCCAUCCCGGCUUACCAACCCGAUGCAAACUGCGAAUACCGGAGAAUGUUAUCACGGGAGACACACGGCGGGUGCUAACGUCCGUCGUGAAGAGGGAAACAACCCAGACCGCCAGCUAAGGUCCCAAAGUCAUGGUUAAGUGGGAAACGAUGUGGGAAGGCCCAGACAGCCAGGAUGUUGGCUUAGAAGCAGCCAUCAUUUAAAGAAAGCGUAAUAGCUCACUGGUCGAGUCGGCCUGCGCGGAAGAUGUAACGGGGCUAAACCAUGCACCGAAGCUGCGGCAGCGAACGUAUCACCCAAGACAACUUUACGGAGUUGACGAUUGACGGAGCGAAGCGACGUCAAAGCGUUCAUUAAAGUCGAGUUGGCUUAGGGAUACGUUCGUUGGGUAGGGGAGCGUUCUGUAAGCCUGUGAAGGUGUGUCGUGAGGCAUGCUGGAGGUAUCAGAAGUGCGAAUGCUGACAUAAGUAACGAUAAAGCGGGUGAAAAGCCCGCUCGCCGGAAGACCAAGGGUUCCUGUCCAACGUUAAUCGGGGCAGGGUGAGUCGACCCCUAAGGCGAGGCCGAAAGGCGUAGUCGAUGGGAAACGGGUUAAUAUUCCCGUACUUGGUGUUACUGCGAAGGGGGGACGGAGAAGGCUAUGUUGGCCGGGCGACGGUUGUCCCGGUUUAAGCGUGUAGGUGUGUGUUCCAGGUAAAUCCGGUUCACUUUAACACUGAGGCGUGACGACGAGGCACUACGGUGCUGAAGCAACAAAUGCCCUGCUUCCAGGAAAAGCCUCUAAGCAUCAGGUAACACGAAAUCGUACCCCAAACCGACACAGGUGGUCAGGUAGAGAAUACCAAGGCGCUUGAGAGAACUCGGGUGAAGGAACUAGGCAAAAUGGUGCCGUAACUUCGGGAGAAGGCACGCUGACACGUAGGUGAAGUGAUUUACUCAUGGAGCUGAAGUCAGUCGAAGAUACCAGCUGGCUGCAACUGUUUAUUAAAAACACAGCACUGUGCAAACACGAAAGUGGACGUAUACGGUGUGACGCCUGCCCGGUGCCGGAAGGUUAAUUGAUGGGGUCAGCGUAAGCGAAGCUCCUGAUCGAAGCCCCGGUAAACGGCGGCCGUAACUAUAACGGUCCUAAGGUAGCGAAAUUCCUUGUCGGGUAAGUUCCGACCUGCACGAAUGGCGUAAUGAUGGCCAGGCUGUCUCCACCCGAGACUCAGUGAAAUUGAACUCGCUGUGAAGAUGCAGUGUACCCGCGGCAAGACGGAAAGACCCCGUGAACCUUUACUAUAGCUUGACACUGAACAUUGAGCCUUGAUGUGUAGGAUAGGUGGGAGGCUUUGAAGUGUGGACGCCAGUCUGCAUGGAGCCGACCUUGAAAUACCACCCUUUAAUGUUUGAUGUUCUAACGUGGACCCGUAAUCCGGGUUGCGGACAGUGUCUGGUGGGUAGUUUGACUGGGGCGGUCUCCUCCUAAAGAGUAACGGAGGAGCACGAAGGUUGGCUAAUCCUGGUCGGACAUCAGGAGGUUAGUGCAAUGGCAUAAGCCAGCUUGACUGCGAGCGUGACGGCGCGAGCAGGUGCGAAAGCAGGUCAUAGUGAUCCGGUGGUUCUGAAUGGAAGGGCCAUCGCUCAACGGAUAAAAGGUACUCCGGGGAUAACAGGCUGAUACCGCCCAAGAGUUCAUAUCGACGGCGGUGUUUGGCACCUCGAUGUCGGCUCAUCACAUCCUGGGGCUGAAGUAGGUCCCAAGGGUAUGGCUGUUCGCCAUUUAAAGUGGUACGCGAGCUGGGUUUAGAACGUCGUGAGACAGUUCGGUCCCUAUCUGCCGUGGGCGCUGGAGAACUGAGGGGGGCUGCUCCUAGUACGAGAGGACCGGAGUGGACGCAUCACUGGUGUUCGGGUUGUCAUGCCAAUGGCACUGCCCGGUAGCUAAAUGCGGAAGAGAUAAGUGCUGAAAGCAUCUAAGCACGAAACUUGCCCCGAGAUGAGUUCUCCCUGAGACUUAGAGUCUCCUGAAGGAACGUUGAAGACGACGACGUUGAUAGGCCGGGUGUGUAAGCGCAGCGAUGCGUUGAGCUAACCGGUACUAAUGAACCGUGAGGCUUAA